UGGCGGGUCACUCUAGCCAGAGCAGCCUUCCACAGUCCUCCAGGGUCAGAGCUACAGUUGAGGACCCUGUAGGUGGUAGAGGUGCCCGGGGCCGGGCUCUGGGGCUGGCAGAGGCAAUGUCAGCGCCUGCCACCUGCGAUGUGGCCAGGGAACUUGGGGCUGAGCAAGGGCACAGAGGGGAGAGUGUGGCAUGAGGGAGAGGCGGGACCCCGCAGAGGCUCCCACACCUUCCAAGGCAGCAGAGGAGAAGGGGAG
RNAcentral lists this long non-coding RNA (255 nucleotides) under Homo sapiens (human). RNAcentral's name for it is "HSALNT0246462". The record is from RNAcentral. Lineage: Eukaryota; Metazoa; Chordata; Mammalia; Primates; Hominidae.